This 250-nucleotide ribosomal RNA is filed under the name uncultured bacterium. RNAcentral's name for it is "partial 16S ribosomal RNA". It matches the Rfam family "Bacterial small subunit ribosomal RNA", at positions 793 to 1055 of the family's 1533-position model. The record is from RNAcentral.
GUCCACGCCGUAACGAUGGAUACUAGCUGUUGGGAGCAAUCUCAGUGGCUAAGCGAAGUGAUAAGUAUCCCACCUGGGAGUACGUUCGCAAGAAUGAAACUCAAAGGAAUUGACGGGCCCGCACAAGCGGUGGAGCAUGUGGUUUAAUUCGAUGAUACGCGAGGAACCUUACCAAGGCUUAAAUGUAGAUUGACCGUUUUGGAAACAGAACUUUCGCAAGACAAUUUACAAGGUGCUGCAUGGUUGUCGU